AUUGAACGCUGGCGGCAUGCCUUACACAUGCAAGUCGAACGGCAGCACGGGAGCAAUCCUGGUGGCGAGUGGCGAACGGGUGAGUAAUAUAUCGGAACGUGCCCAGUUGUGGGGGAUAGCCCGGCGAAAGCCGGAUUAAUACCGCAUACGACCUACGGGUGAAAGCGGGGGAUCGCAAGACCUCGCGCAAUUGGAGCGGCCGAUAUCAGAUUAGCUAGUUGGUGGGGUAAAAGCUCACCAAGGCGACGAUCUGUAGCUGGUCUGAGAGGACGACCAGCCACACUGGGACUGAGACACGGCCCAGACUCCUACGGGAGGCAGCAGUGGGGAAUUUUGGACAAUGGGCGCAAGCCUGAUCCAGCCAUGCCGCGUGUGGGAAAGAAGGCCUUCGGGUUGUAAACCACUUUUGACAGGGAAGAAAGCGGUCCUUACUAAUAUUAGGGGCUAAUGACGGUACCUGAAGAAUAAGCACCGGCUAACUACGUGCCAGCAGCCGCGGUAAUACGUAGGGUGCAAGCGUUAAUCGGAAUUACUGGGCGUAAAGCGUGCGCAGGCGGCUAUGCAAAGACAGAUGUGAAAUCCCCGGGGCUCAACCUGGGAACUGCAUUGUGACUGCAUGGCUAGAGUACGGUAGAGGGGGAUGGAAUUCCGCGUGUAGCGGUGAAAAUGCGUAGAUAUGCGGAGGAACACCGAUGGCGAAGGCAAUCCCUGGACCUGUACUGACGCUCAUGCACGAAAAGCGUGGGGGAGCAAAA
RNAcentral lists this ribosomal RNA (755 nucleotides) under uncultured bacterium. Its description in RNAcentral is "bacterial SSU rRNA". It matches the Rfam family "Bacterial small subunit ribosomal RNA", at positions 28 to 773 of the family's 1533-position model. The record is from RNAcentral.